Molecule: ribosomal RNA, 524 nt
Filed under: bacterium enrichment culture clone Cont5_3131
Lineage: Bacteria
Description: partial 16S ribosomal RNA
Rfam family: Bacterial small subunit ribosomal RNA
Source: RNAcentral
AGAGUUUGAUCAUGGCUCAGAACGAACGCUGGCGGCGUGCUUAACACAUGCAAGUCGAACGCGAAAGUUUUCUUCGGAAGACGAGUAGGGUGGCGCACGGGUGAGUAGCGCGUAAGUAAUCUACCCCGGCAUCUGGAAUAACUCACCGAAAGGUGUGCUAAUACCGCAUACGUCCUGAGGGAGAAAGCGGGGGAUCGCAAGACCUCGCGCGAUUGGAGUGGCCGAUAUCUGAUUAGCUAGAUGGUGAGGUAAAGGCUCACCAUGGCGACGAUCAGUAGCUGGUCUGAGAGGAUGAUCMGCCACACUGGGACUGAGACACGGCCCAGACUCCUACGGGAGGCAGCAGUGGGGAAUWUUGGACAAUGGGCGMAAGCCUGAUCCAGCMAUKCCGCGUGRGUGAAGAAGGYCUUCGGRUUGUAAAGCYCUUUCGGCAGGAACGAAACGGUGGGAUCUAAUACAUUCSACURAUGACGGUACCYGWAGAAGAAGCMCCGGCUAACUWCGUGCCAGCAGCCGCGGUAAUA